RNAcentral lists this ribosomal RNA (440 nucleotides) under uncultured bacterium. RNAcentral describes it as "partial 16S ribosomal RNA". It matches the Rfam family "Bacterial small subunit ribosomal RNA", at positions 338 to 795 of the family's 1533-position model. The record is from RNAcentral.
CCUACGGGGGGCAGCAGUGGGGAAUAUUGCACAAUGGGGGAAACCCUGAUGCAGCGACGCCGCGUGAGUGAAGAAGUAAUUCGUUAUGUAAAGCUCUAUCAGCAGGGAAGAAAAUGACGGUACCUGAGUAAGAAGCCCCGGCUAACUACGUGCCAGCAGCCGCGGUAAUACGUAGGGGGCAAGCGUUAUCCAGAUUUACUGGGUGGAAAGGGAGCGUAGACGGCAGUGCAAGUCUGGAGGGAAAGGCGGGGGCUCAACCCCCGGACUGCUCUGGAAACUGUACGGCUGGAGUGCAGGAGAGGUAAGUGGAAUUCCUAGUGUAGCGGUGAAAUGCGUAGAUAUUAGGAGGAACACCAGUGGCGAAGGCGGCUUACUGGACUGUAACUGACGUUGAGGCUCGAAAGCGUGGGGAGCAAACAGGAUUAGAUACCCGAGUAGUC